AGUGCCUACUGUGUGCCAAGACA
RNAcentral lists this microRNA (23 nucleotides) under Mus musculus (house mouse). RNAcentral's name for it is "mmu-miR-1271-3p". Lineage: Eukaryota; Metazoa; Chordata; Mammalia; Rodentia; Muridae. The record is from miRBase by way of RNAcentral.